GAAAAUAUUUUCAGUCAAUCAAUAAAGAUGUAUCAAAGAUCAAGAACACAAAGAUACCUCUUUUUAAGGCCAUUGGUCAGUUCCUUGUAUUGGGCUGCACAUGGAUAUUUGGGAUGUUCCAGUUUGGUGAAGGGACAAUUGUUAUGUCGUACCUCUUCACAAUACUGAACUGCUACCAUGGAGUUUUCAUAUUUCUGCUCUAUUGUGCUGCUAACAAACAGGUCACUGAUAAAUACAAAAUUUGGCUUCGAAGACUCUUCAGCACUGCGAGAAGAGGAAAGGAACUUAGGACCAUCAAUAGUGCAACCACAGCCCCUACCAGUGCCACACCUGCU
Molecule: long non-coding RNA, 335 nt
Organism: Protopterus annectens (West African lungfish)
Lineage: Eukaryota; Metazoa; Chordata; Ceratodontiformes; Protopteridae
Exons: 3
Source: RefSeq, a predicted model, not a curated record